AGUGCUUUUCAGCACCUAAUGCUUAUCAGCUACUCUAAAUCAGUUAAGCCAAACGGGCUCUAACUUAAUAGGGAAAAAGAGGAAACUUGGUUAUUCUGGAACAAUAAUUAUGGUCUGGUCUAGUAUCUGGUAUUGGCUUUUUUCCUUGCGAGGAAACUUGGUUAUUCUGGAGCAGAAAUAAUGGUCUGGUCUAGUAUCUGGUUUUGGCUUUUUCCCUUGCUGCUAAUAGCUAACUGUUCAUUUUCUUCUAGAACAGUUUUGGUCUUCUCCUUGUUGCUAAUCGCUAGCUGUAUAUGUUCUUCAGGAAUAAAUUCAAAUUCUUAUAUUUUUUAAGUCAAUCAAAGGAUGAAUCUUCUUUCACUUUAACAUUAAGGCAUAAGCAAGACCCAUUGCUGGGAGAAAGCAUUUUAAGAAGCUAAUUUAGCUGCUAUAAUCAUGAGGGUUGAGUGGUAGCACCAUAGAACAGGAAUGCAGGAUAAAGAGAUUUUGGGAUGAACUUCGUUUACGAGGGUCCUCUCUGUUGUAAGGUAGAUAGAAGUGCAAACUUUUGUCAUCUAUUCUAUUCUGACCAAGAAUUCUUCCUAGUAUAGUAAUUAUCUUAUUUUUGCCUACAGAUAGAGCAGUGAAUUGUAUCUAUAACUUGAAUUUUUUUUUAAGAAUUCACAUAUAUUUUGUUCUAGGUUUCAAAAUAUUAAAAGUUAAAAUAUAUAGGUGCGAUGGUUGUGUAUCACCAAGCGAGAUGAAAAUCUUUGUUUAAUGCAUUUCAAGUGCAACUGGAAAUGAUAAGGUAUGAAUGUAAAAUUAAUUGAUAAAUAUAACCCUAAAACAUUGAAGCACAACUCCACUUCAGGUGUAACUCUAUUUGUAAUGCUAUUGUGAUAUUUUGACAUAAUGUACCUAAGUCACUGGAGCCAAGUAAUACAAACAAGGAUAGUAGCUAAUCCUUGUAGAAAAGGAAUGUCAAGAGUUUGACCUACCUGCAUGGACUUAUAUUGUGGUCCUAUUUCUUGAUUUGCAUCUAUUGUGAGCCUCUCAAUUGAGGAAUCAAGGGAGAAAAGCCAACGGUCAGAAAUUCCGCUAGUUGCAUUGAAGUAAGAGAGGGUCAUGUUUCCUAUGUAAAGCUCUUGCUCUCGUUUUGGGCAGCAUAAUGAUCACGUGGAUCGGCAUGAGUAUUGCUUGUGACUUAUUACUAACUUCAGCUCUUUUGAUAUUUAUAAUAGACAACAUUUGUCGCCUGAAGUAGCACUCGUCCUGCUGUCUAGACGUCAGAUGAGUUAAAUGUGGUAUAUUUGUUCUUGUUCAUUGCUUAAGUUGAGUGUAAGCACUUUCUGUAUGUCUCAGAUGUAGUUGGUACGGAUACGGAGCUCGUCUAUUUGCUUAAACAAGGCAAACCGUUUCUAAUAAAAGUUUGCCACAUGUUAGAGGCAAACUUUGCGCUAGGAUAAACUUGCAUGUGGUGCUUUAAAAUCUAUAGUGUUUUUACUUGUCAUGUAACAUAUCUGUGAGGUACUUUGUUAUGUUAUUUACUAAUGAACUUUCAAGAUGUGAAACCUGAUGUUAAAGACAACUAAUUCACUGAUCAAAUGAUGAAACAUUGUUUAUCUUGUUCUCAGAAUGUGCUCAUGCUAUUUCCAUGUUCCUAGAGAAAGACUUACCCAUGUGCACUAAUUGCAUCCUAUUUUGUAGAGUAAACUACCCUACACAGUACACACCCGUAUAAUAUUGUUCAGUAAUGGACAUUACCCUUGUAUUUCAAAAUCAAACACUUAAUAUCCUAAUAUUAUUCAAAACCCUUGCUUCAUUUAUCAUUGUUUAAUAACAGUAUAUAAAAAGACUAAACUAACCUUGUAAAUGGUACAAUUGUAUUAGAUCGCGUGAUCAUUGAUCAGAUAGCUUCAACUUCUUCAAUUUUUUUGGUUCAUGUAUCUUCUUCCUGUUUUUUCAAUAAAUGUCUUCCUCAACCAAUGGACGAGCCAAAGGGAGACAUGGUGGCACAAGCAUGCUGGUGUAUUUCUUAGGCGCACUGUCCCUGAGGGCCAUUGGCGCACUAUCCGAAACUCGAUGGAUAAUGGCUACAUUUUAUAAGGCUAAUCAUCCUUGAAGGGAGCAUGUAACGACCACCAGAAAGAUGUAUAACCCCUGUUUCUGGAGAGCAAGCACAUGCCUAUUAAGUUAUUCUGAAGCAACUUGCAGCACUUGGAUUUCAAUAAAUCCUGAAACAACUUGAGCAAAGAAGCUCCAUUUUGUACUAAGCUGACUAUCUCUGUCAUAUACUCUAGUUAUUUCUUACUAAAGCUAUUCGACAGCCUCUCAUACCAGAAAAUAUUAGCACACUUAUGGACUAAAUUAUUCUAGGAACUUGUAGUUUAUAGUGCAUUGAAGCAGCUAGUUAUGACCCAAAACUUGCCUCUUUCGCAUUGA
Molecule: RNA transcript, 2421 nt
Organism: Nicotiana attenuata
Lineage: Eukaryota; Viridiplantae; Streptophyta; Magnoliopsida; Solanales; Solanaceae
Gene name: F-box/kelch-repeat protein At3g23880-like
Exons: 2
Source: RefSeq, a predicted model, not a curated record